This is a long non-coding RNA of Ictalurus punctatus (channel catfish), 894 nucleotides long. Lineage: Eukaryota; Metazoa; Chordata; Actinopteri; Siluriformes; Ictaluridae. The record is from Ensembl.
CUUGCACUAGCAGCUCUAACUGCACUCGCACUAGCAGCUCUAACUGCACUCACACAGCUCUAACUGCACUCGCACUAGCAGCUCUAACUGCACUCACACAGCUCUAACUGCACUCGCACUAGCAGCUCAUACUGUGCGAUUUUGGCAACAACAUCGGACUCUGUCGUCUUUGCUGUUUCCUUUUUCUCUGCGGCGGUUGUAAACACUUCCUGUUCCAGCGCGGUUUCAUGUUCGCUUAGAUUAAAGUUUUGAAACUUUGGGACUACGUUGUUUACAUCGGUUUGAUCCUUAAACAAGACUUGGGUGAAGAAUUUCUGUUGGGAAUCCUCGACUUCACGCUGUCUGGAAGCUUCGCUCGAAGCAAAGUUAACGGAAAUGAGCUUCUUAUUGUAAGUAACGGUGGCUAGCUAACUAGUCAGACCUCUGUCUGUUAUUAUGCAGCGACGUGGUGGUUGUUUGGAGAUAACUAGAGAUAUUUUGGUGGGAUAAUCCCCGCUGAAUCGAUGUAAACCAUCACUAAACAGUCAGUAAUAGACUAACUAGUUACUAGCCCAUAGUUAGAGUAACUUUCCUGUCUCCUCAUGUGGCUCAGGCCAGCUUUAUGAGUAACGUUAGUUAGCCAACACAGCUACAACCACGGUAAGAUUUAACAAAUAUAUCAAAUAUUAGUUUUUAUAUUAGCGUAUACAACACUAGUGUAAGUUUAUAUUUGAAACAUCAAUCCCCUGGACGCCUUUAUUAGGCCGUGUUUUCUCUUCCUCGAAGGCUCUCCAUGAAGCUUCCGCUAAAGCACUUAAGAUGAAUAAAUGAAGUUAUAAACCAUCUGUCGCGUUGGAGAGCUGAUUAAAGCCCAGACUGAUGGAGAACUGAGCAUUAGCUGAAACGAAAAAAGUU